This 75-nucleotide transfer RNA is filed under the name Parcubacteria group bacterium ADurb.Bin016. RNAcentral's name for it is "tRNA-Cys". It matches the Rfam family "tRNA". From Rfam's summary of the family: Transfer RNA (tRNA) molecules are approximately 80 nucleotides in length. Their secondary structure includes four short double-helical elements and three loops (D, anti-codon, and T loops). The record is from RNAcentral.
GGUCACGUCGCCAAGGGGCUAAGGCAACAGUUUGCAAAACUGUUAUACGUGGGUUCGAUUCCCACCGUGACCUCC